ACGGUUAUAAAUCAACAUAUUGAUUUAUAAGCAUGGAAAUCCCCUGAGUGAAACAACGAAUUGCUGUGUGUAGUCUUCGCCCAUCUCCCACGAUGGGCUUUUUUUUAA
RNAcentral lists this non-coding RNA (108 nucleotides) under Escherichia coli. RNAcentral describes it as "antisense sRNA RprA". It matches the Rfam family "RprA RNA". From Rfam's summary of the family: Translational regulation of the stationary phase sigma factor RpoS is mediated by the formation of a double-stranded RNA stem-loop structure in the upstream region of the rpoS messenger RNA, occluding the translation initiation site. Clones carrying rprA (RpoS regulator RNA A) increased the translation of RpoS. Lineage: Bacteria; Pseudomonadati; Pseudomonadota; Gammaproteobacteria; Enterobacterales; Enterobacteriaceae. The record is from RNAcentral.